Molecule: long non-coding RNA, 501 nt
Organism: Leptinotarsa decemlineata (Colorado potato beetle)
Lineage: Eukaryota; Metazoa; Arthropoda; Insecta; Coleoptera; Chrysomelidae
Source: RefSeq, a predicted model, not a curated record
CUGGUUGUUAAUCAGGUUUUUUAUUUGAUUUAUCUGGUUUGAGGCAGAAACAUAGUUUUGUUUAGUUAACCACAGUUGAGAUUAUAAAAUUGUCGGUCGAAAUCAUCUGACGUAUAUUUCAUGAAUAUUAAAAGUAAUUUGAAACAUGACCUUUCAUAAAGCUAAAAGAUUUAGAUACCAGAAAAUAUCGUAAGAGAAGUCCAGACCUACUUGACUUUUUGACAGAUGAGAAUCUCUCGGAGUUUUCGAGUUAUAUGUUCGUCUGAGUGAAGUUCUGUGGGAGAGGCUAUAGUUUUUGAGACAUUCUUAUCACGUGAUACAUUGAGAUUUGUGUUUUUGAUGAUGGUGUUUUUACAAAAAAAAAACUGUGGAGGCAGAAUUUGGUCUGGAAGUUUUGGUUUUUGAAGGAUGCUUUUUCUGUAAUAUAAGUACGCUACAAAAUGCCUAAGUGCCAACGGUCAACUGUCUCGAGAAUCACCGAUUAAACGACAGUCAAGCUCA